Molecule: ribosomal RNA, 440 nt
Filed under: uncultured bacterium
Lineage: Bacteria
Description: partial 16S ribosomal RNA
Rfam family: Bacterial small subunit ribosomal RNA
Source: RNAcentral
CCUACGGGAGGCAGCAGUGGGGGAUAUUGCACAAUGGGGGAGACCCUGAUGCAGCGACGCCGCGUGUGGGAAGACGGUCCUCUGGAUUGUAAACCACUGUCCCCAGGGACGAAGAUGACGGUAGCUGGGGAGGAAGCUCCGGCUAACUACGUGCCAGCAGCCGCGGUAAGACGUAGGGGGCAAGCGUUGUCCGGAAUUACUGGGUGUAAAGGGAGCGUAGGCGGGAUGUCAAGUUGGGUGUUAAAUCUACCGGCUCAACUGGUAGUCGCACUCAAAACUGCUAUUCUUGAGUGAAGUAGAGGCAGGCGGAAUUCCUAGUGUAGCGGUGAAAUGCGUAGAUAUUAGGAGGAACUCCAGUGGCGAAGGCGGCCUGCUGGGCUUUUACUGACGCUGAGGCUCGAAAGUGUGGGGAGCAAACAGGAUUAGAUACCCGAGUAGUC